Molecule: long non-coding RNA, 707 nt
Filed under: Olea europaea subsp. europaea
Lineage: Eukaryota; Viridiplantae; Streptophyta; Magnoliopsida; Lamiales; Oleaceae
Source: RNAcentral
AUUUGAUACAUUAAUGUUGUAAUUUCUUAUGACCUUAUGCAUUUAUAUCAUGCAGGAUGAUUACUGAUAAUAUUCACUAUGAAUAACAUUGUUCAAUAAUAAUUUAUCCACAUCCCUUGAAUCUUGAUUUUCCGGCAAUGUCACUUCCAACUACUACUUCAAGUUCAGACAAACAAGUUGGAGCUGCCUUCAUCACUUGUAAAGCUGCAGGAGUCCAAGCAAGGUAGACGCGAGCCCAGAAAGAAAAAAGAUAUUGCACUUUUGUCCUUUGUUAUGUUUGGUAGAGUGCAUAUAAUAUUGGACAAUAUUACCCAAAAAUAAAUAAAUAAAUAAAAAUAAAAAAGUUGAAAUCUUAUCCAUUAUACUGUCAAAUAAAAUGCACUAAACCUGCCUUUGAUGUUCUCAAAAUGCAUAUUAUGUAAUUCCUAAAAAGAUCUUCAAUUUGAUGUUCCUCUGUGCUACAGCAAAGGCUUGUGGAGUGACAGACUAGUUGAAUCCAAAUGACUAUGAUGAACAAAUCGCACAGUUUUAUUUUCUUUUUUCACAGCAACUUUUGCACACUUGUAACUAUAUUCUUGAUGGUACAUCAAUGUCGAAUAGUUUCCAGAUAAUAAAGCGAGUGAAGGACUAGUGCCGACUACGCAUUUGAAUGCAUAGAAGAAUAGAAGAUACAUGAAUGAUUACUACAGCUUUACAGUCGUGAUGUA